AGAAAGAUCGAAAUCUGAACUGCUAUGAAAUACGUCCGGUCUGUCGGGUGUACUCUCUAUAAAUAAUAUGUUUUGAAUGAAAAUGAAAUAAAUCUGUAAAAUUUAAAGAAAUCUUAAGUUUUCUUUGUUGUUUAGAUACGAGGAAGUGAAAUAUAAUCUUUGGUGAUUGAAAUUCCCAUCUUUUUAACAGAAUUAAAAGAAAAAGUGCAUGUCUGAUAUGUAUUGGAAGUUAUAUUUUGAUACGAUAUGAUUCUUGAAUAUCGAUAUAUUAAUUGACACAGCCCUAACACCAACCACAUGCAUAUUAAGUGAUAUUUAGGAGUAAUACUGAAAUAUCUUUUGCUUUAGGGUACCAUACACCUGAGGAAUAUAAUCAGUACAAAAAAUUCAUAGAGCUUGGAAGACAGCGCCAGUAUGCAAGACCAUCCCGUGCCAAGUCGGCCCCAGCAGAGAGAUGGGCCAAAACAUUUGAAGAAAGCCUAUUUAGUGAUGAAGAAGAACAAACUACCAAAAAGUCUGCAUCAUCCAAAAGUCUUAGAAUGAAAUCCCCUACAAACAGUAAUAGACGGGAUCCUGUCAAGUCCAGCCAAUCAGGAAAA
Molecule: long non-coding RNA, 599 nt
Organism: Saccostrea cuccullata (small rock oyster)
Lineage: Eukaryota; Metazoa; Mollusca; Bivalvia; Ostreida; Ostreidae
Exons: 2
Source: RefSeq, a predicted model, not a curated record